Molecule: ribosomal RNA, 274 nt
Filed under: uncultured bacterium
Lineage: Bacteria
Description: partial 16S ribosomal RNA
Rfam family: Bacterial small subunit ribosomal RNA
Source: RNAcentral
AUACGGAGGGGGUUAGCGUUGUUCGGAAUUACUGGGCGUAAAGCGCACGUAGGCGGAAUGUUAAGUUAGAGGUGAAAUCCCAGGGCUCAACCCUGGAACUGCCUUUAAUACUGGCAAUCUAGAGACCGAGAGAGGUGAGUGGAAUUCCGAGUGUAGAGGUGAAAUUCGUAGAUAUUCGGAGGAACACCAGUGGCGAAGGCGGCUCACUGGCUCGGUACUGACGCUGAGGUGCGAAAGCGUGGGGAGCAAACAGGAUUAGAAACCCUUGUAGUCC